AUUGCUUUCAAAGCCAUUGGCAUGUUCUUUUGAAUAGCCUUAUCAGUGACAAAACUUCAUAUGUAAAAGGUAGAUUUUUUUUUCCAGAAGGAAAUUAGUAUCUUUGAUAUAUUUUCUGUAUUUGACAGGGUUCUAUUAGAAGCCAGAAACUGGGUCCUUACUGAGCAGAGAGUUAAAGAUGAUGAGAACCAUUUACCAGGUCGGGGACUGAAGUGCAGAAAGGGAUGUGAGGUGUUGCAAAGGGAAGCAGCUGCCUUCUCUGGAGAUGGUGUGGAGGGACAAAGGUGGGUUGUUGGGAUUCUAAAGUCAGAAGGUUUUGAGAACCAGAGGUGCUGGGACACCUAAGGCACUGGUGCCAGUAGCAUGGAGCCUGGACCUGAGGCUCCACUGUCCUGGGGUUCUGGCCUCUGAGGAGAUGCUAUGGCUGGUGCAGUGUUGUGAGAGGGCACCAGGAAGCGGGUUCUAGGAGUGUUGAAAGGAAUGAUUGCAAACCAGAACCACUGUGCUCCUGGAACCAGAUGCUGCUGCCAGGAUGAGGUGGUGUUGCUGGCAAUGGUGAUGGCAACAGGAAGCAGAUGGAAAAGAGAAAACACUCUCCACUCUCGAGACCUUCACAUUCCCUGGUGCAACCCUGGAAGCGAAUGAGGAGGAGAUGACGCUGUGCUGGCUCCACGCCUGAACAGAGAGGCCAAGUGUGAUCAAAGUAUAUGGUAAAUAUUUAAAUUAAAACAUCUAGUAUGGUAAAGGCCACAUUGCCGUGAAUCCCCUCAAGCCAGGCACCUCUGCCUGCCCCACUUGUCCCUUUGUUCUUGCCAUGUUCUGAAGCAGUUCUGGAGUCCGCUUUUGUGAGCGUCUUUACCAGGUGAUUAAAAACAAUGCUGCUGCCAAGUCCAGUCUAAUAGAAAGGCAGAUUCCUUAAAAAAAACUAGUGUAUUUUUUCCCUACUAGUAAAGAUCUACACUAGUAGAUCUGACUUCUGACUUUUUCCCAGUCAAAAUAACAAACGUAAAUAUUUUAAUUGAUUUAGGGCAUACUAUAAAAGAUGGAAAUAUUCACUAUAUUUUUCAAUCAUUGUCUACAAGCCCUUUGUAUCCUCAGGUUCUGCAUCCUUGGAUUCAAGUAACUGUAGAUCAAAAGUG
RNAcentral lists this long non-coding RNA (1139 nucleotides) under Fukomys damarensis (Damara mole-rat). RNAcentral's name for it is "lncRNA (ENSFDAG00000030508.1)". Lineage: Eukaryota; Metazoa; Chordata; Mammalia; Rodentia; Bathyergidae. The record is from RNAcentral.